AGUUUGAUUAUGGCUCAGGAUGAACGCUAGCGGCAGGCUUAACACAUGCAAGUCGAGGGGCAUCGGGAGUAGCAAUACUUGCCGGCGACCGGCGCAAGGGUGCGUAACGCGUGAGCAACAUGCCCGUAUCAGGGGGAUAAUCCAUGGAAACGUGGUCUAAUACCCCAUAGUAAUUAUGUAAGGCAUCUUAUAUAAUUUAAAGCUUUGGUGGAUACGGACUGGCUCGCGUGACAUUAGCUAGAUGGUAAGGUAACGGCUUACCAUGGCUACGAUGUCUAGGGGUUCUGAGAGGAAGGUCCCCCACACUGGAACUGAGACACGGUCCAGACUCCUACGGGAGGCAGCAGUGAGGAAUAUUGGACAAUGGAUGGAAAUCUGAUCCAGCCAUGCCGCGUGCAGGAAGACGGCCCUAUGGGUUGUAAACUGCUUUUGUAUGGGAGCAAUAAGGGCUACGCGUAGUCCGAUGAGAGUACCAUACGAAUAAGCACCGGCUAACUCCGUGCCAGCCGCCGC
This 513-nucleotide ribosomal RNA is filed under the name uncultured bacterium. RNAcentral describes it as "bacterial SSU rRNA". It matches the Rfam family "Bacterial small subunit ribosomal RNA", at positions 10 to 518 of the family's 1533-position model. The record is from RNAcentral.